This 253-nucleotide ribosomal RNA is filed under the name uncultured bacterium. Its description in RNAcentral is "partial 16S ribosomal RNA". It matches the Rfam family "Bacterial small subunit ribosomal RNA", at positions 524 to 776 of the family's 1533-position model. The record is from RNAcentral.
UACGAAGGGGGCUAGCGUUGCUCGGAAUCACUGGGCGUAAAGGGUGCGUAGGCGGGUCUUUAAGUCAGGGGUGAAAUCCUGGAGCUCAACUCCAGAACUGCCUUUGAUACUGAAGAUCUUGAGUUCGGGAGAGGUGAGUGGAACUGCGAGUGUAGAGGUGAAAUUCGUAGAUAUUCGCAAGAACACCGGUGGCGAAGGCGGCGACCUGGGUCGAGACUGACGCUGAGGCGCGAAAGCGUGGGGAGCAAACAGG